Molecule: ribosomal RNA, 254 nt
Filed under: uncultured bacterium
Lineage: Bacteria
Description: partial 16S ribosomal RNA
Rfam family: Bacterial small subunit ribosomal RNA
Source: RNAcentral
UACGUAGGGGGCAAGCGUUGUCCGGAUUUAUUGGGCGUAAAGAGCGUGUAGGCGGCUUGGUAGGUCCGCUGUGAAAACUCGAGGCUCAACCUCGAGAUGUCGGCGGAAACCACUUGGCUAGAGUCCGGAAGAGGAGAGUGGAAUUCCUGGUGUAGCGGUGAAAUGCGCAGACUAUCAGGAGGAACACCGGUGGCGAAGGCGGGUCUCUGGGCCGAUACUGACGCUGAGGAGCGAAAGCGUGGGGAGCGAACAGG